Molecule: transfer RNA, 85 nt
Filed under: Felis catus (domestic cat)
Lineage: Eukaryota; Metazoa; Chordata; Mammalia; Carnivora; Felidae
Rfam family: tRNA
About the family: Transfer RNA (tRNA) molecules are approximately 80 nucleotides in length. Their secondary structure includes four short double-helical elements and three loops (D, anti-codon, and T loops).
Source: Rfam by way of RNAcentral
ACCUGGGUGGCUCAGUCAGUUAAGCAUCUGACUUUGGCUCAGGUCAUGAUCUCAUGGCUUGUGAGUUCGAGUCCCGCCUGGGGUG